AUUAACGCGAAGAACCUUACCAGCUCUUGACAUGUCCGGUAUGGUCGCCAGAGAUGGCUUCCUUCCCGCAAGGGGCCGGAACACAGGUGCUGCAUGGCUGUCGUCAGCUCGUGUCGUGAGAUGUUGGGUUAAGUCCCGCAACGAGCGCAACCCCCGCCCUUAGUUGCCAUCAUUCAGUUGGGCACUCUAGGGGGACUGCCGGUGAUAAGCCGAGAGGAAGGUGGGGAUGACGUCAAGUCCUCAUGGCCCUUACGGGCUGGGCUACACACGUGCUACAAUGGCGGUGACAAUGGGAUGCGGAGGGGUGACCCCGAGCAAAUCUCCAAAAGCCGUCUCAGUUCGGAUUGCACUCUGCAACUCGAGUGCAUGAAGUUGGAAUCGCUAGUAAUCGUAGAUCAGAACGCUACGGUGAAUACGUUCCCGGGUCUUGUACACACCGAAU
RNAcentral lists this ribosomal RNA (442 nucleotides) under uncultured bacterium. Its description in RNAcentral is "bacterial SSU rRNA". It matches the Rfam family "Bacterial small subunit ribosomal RNA", at positions 955 to 1395 of the family's 1533-position model. The record is from RNAcentral.